UACGAAGGGGGCUAGCGUUGCUCGGAAUUACUGGGCGUAAAGGGCGCGUAGGCGGUUUGGACAGUCAGAUGUGAAAUUCCUGGGCUCAACCUGGGGGCUGCAUUUGAUACGUGCGGACUUGAGUGAGGAAGAGGGUCGUGGAAUUCCCAGUGUAGAGGUGAAAUUCGUAGAUAUUGGGAAGAACACCGGUGGCGAAGGCGGCGACCUGGUCCUUGACUGACGCUGAGGCGCGAAAGCGUGGGGAGCAAACAGG
Molecule: ribosomal RNA, 253 nt
Filed under: uncultured bacterium
Lineage: Bacteria
Description: partial 16S ribosomal RNA
Rfam family: Bacterial small subunit ribosomal RNA
Source: RNAcentral